GAAGGAUGUGAGUAUGAGACAUUGUAGACUUACUGUGUAAAACUGUGGACAAUAUAAUGAAUGUUCAUAAGGAUUUUCUUAACACCUUCUUAAUAGUAUCACUACUGCUGUCAUCUAUGCCUCUGUGUUAUUGAUUUUAGAAUUAGUAUGAUGUCUUAAGUCGAUCAGAAGUGGUUUCUAUUUGAAUUAGUCGUGAAAAUUUGUAGAUCAUAUCCUACCGAACCACCAUUUUUCCAUAGAACUUUUCUGCCCCUAAUUUACAUGAAAAUACAAUAGAUGAAUUGUCAUUCGAUGAAAAUCAUUUGAAUAUCUGAUUAAGCAAUAAGGUAGCUAGUAGGAUUUUGAGGGUAUCUCAGAAUAAGAAGAUGAGGACCCGAGUUCACCAGAGUAUAUUUCAUCUGUUGUACAACUGCCUGGCCGUAUCUAUUUAGUAGGAUCUCUGUGCAUAGUUUUCCCUAUUAUUCUACAUAUAGUUAUUAUAUAACAUUAGGCUGUAGUCCAGCACCUUCAAGGCUGGAGUAGCACUGUGAACUGUGAAAUGACAACCUUUUGUGAUCUUUAUCAUCAUCAUUUGUAUCUAAAGUUUGUGUUAUAAUUGUGGAUUUAAUGUUUUACUUCGUCCAGAUCUUGUCACAUGAUAGACAAUUUACUUGAUCGUUAUUGGAACUUUGCAUGAGAGAGAUGUUCAGGAACUAUCGGAAAAAUGUCACCCUUUGGGUAUGUUUGGCAGGUGUACACACCGCCUAUAUCACAUACCGGCAAGCAUAAACAACAACCUCGUAGGUGGCCCCCGCGUCAUGGUUAGUCCCGCCUACAACAUGCCUCCGGUAGACCUAUACCCGAGCUACCGAGCUAUGGUGGAGGUCGGCCGGUAUCUAGACGGGAGGUCAUCCUCCCAUGCUCUCCAAAAGGCUUCAAGAGAAACAAAUAAACACAUAUUGUCCCACAUCAGAAAUAUAGAAUAGAAUGAGACUUCCUUUAACUAUUAAAGGAACCUCCCCUUCUUGGAAAGGGAUGGGAUCCAUGAUCCCCACACUUGUAUAUUACAAAAGCUACUUGGCCUCACUCAUAGUGAAAUCUCUAAGUGGACGUAACUUUGCCUCAAGGGCAAGGUGAACCACUAUACAUGUUUGUGUCACUAUCUCUCUCUCCAUCAUGAUCCAUACUUAGUUCCCCGUAUUCUCUCACAGAAAAAACAGCAUUGCUAUCCUGGCAGUUGCACAGAAUAUGCAGGAGCUUUACAUCUUGCUCCUUAUUUUUCUGAGUGCAUUACAUCAGAGGAUCUGGAUGACAUGAAUAUUGAAAUCAUGAGGAAUACUCUUUAUAUGGCAUACCUUGAAGACUUACAGGUUUUGUCAGACUAACUAGGUGGUGCCACAGCAUAGAUUAUGUCUGACUUGCUUUUGAGGCUGACAGAAGGGCUGUCAAUAUUACCAUAAAUAGCCCUCGAACAGAGCUAAUUACCCGAGAUGAUCAGAAGAAAUGGUAUACUAACUUUGGUUUAUUUUAGGUCACACUGUGAUUAGUUGGCAAUUGUGUACUAUGUUUCCAUACAAGAUUGCUAUAUCUGACUUCUGUGUGUUGGUUUUGUACAUCGAUGGACCAAAAAGAAACAUAAUUUAGUCAGGGCCCUAGUAUAAGAGGAUUUGAGUCAUUAUGAUUUCAUGGAUCCUCCUGCUCCUGAGACAAUGAUGGAUGCACUAGAGGUUUUGUAUUUUUUGGGAGCCCUUGAUGAAGAUGGUAACUUGACCAAGGUGGAGGAGAUUAUGAGUGAAUUCUCUACAUGACUGAGGACAGUACCUGACAAGGAAAGAGAAACAAGUGGUACAUUUGCAUCCCUCAAAUUCUCUGGAUCACAAACUGGAGUUUCUGAUCUACAACAAGUAUGUCUUGACAAGCAGAAGUUUGAUCCGAAUAGUGACAGAGAUAAGUGGUGAAUGGCUAAUCGAAUACAACAUCUGAACCCUACAUAUAUAAUCACAAAUUAUCAGAACUUCAGAAGACACCAUGUAUGUAAAAAAUUUAGUACUGAAAUGCAACAGAUAUGUAACAAGAGUUGAUGAUUUAUUAUCAGUCUCAUUGAAUUGAAUUAUGUUG
Molecule: long non-coding RNA, 2097 nt
Organism: Rosa chinensis
Lineage: Eukaryota; Viridiplantae; Streptophyta; Magnoliopsida; Rosales; Rosaceae
Exons: 5
Source: RefSeq, a predicted model, not a curated record